RNAcentral lists this ribosomal RNA (253 nucleotides) under uncultured bacterium. RNAcentral's name for it is "partial 16S ribosomal RNA". It matches the Rfam family "Bacterial small subunit ribosomal RNA", at positions 527 to 779 of the family's 1533-position model. The record is from RNAcentral.
CGAAGGGGCUAGCGUUGUUCGGAAUUACUGGGCGUAAAGCGCACGUAGGCGGAUACUUAAGUUAGGGGUGAAAUCCCAGGGCUCAACCCUGGAACUGCCUUUAAUACUGGGUAUCUUGGGUUCGAGAGAGGUGAGUGGAAUUCCGAGUGUAGAGGUGAAAUUCGUAGAUAUUCGGAGGAACACCAGUGGCGAAGGCGGCUCACUGGCUCGAUACUGACGCUGAGGUGCGAAAGCGUGGGGAGCAAACAGGAUU